This 253-nucleotide ribosomal RNA is filed under the name uncultured bacterium. RNAcentral's name for it is "partial 16S ribosomal RNA". It matches the Rfam family "Bacterial small subunit ribosomal RNA", at positions 524 to 776 of the family's 1533-position model. The record is from RNAcentral.
UACAGAGGUCCCAAGCGUUGUUCGGAUUCACUGGGCGUAAAGGGUGCGCAGGUGGUGGGAUAAGUUCGAUGUGAAAGCUCCGAGCUCAACUCGGAAAUGGCAUUGAAUACUGUUCCGCUCGAGGGUCGGAAGGGAGACUGGAAUUCUCGGUGUAGCAGUGAAAUGCGUAGAUAUCGAGAGGAACACCGGUGGCGAAGGCGAGUCUCUGGACGAUUCCUGACGCUGAGGCACAAAAGCUAGGGGAGCAAACAGG